RNAcentral lists this ribosomal RNA (1251 nucleotides) under Streptococcus constellatus. RNAcentral's name for it is "bacterial SSU rRNA". It matches the Rfam family "Bacterial small subunit ribosomal RNA", at positions 93 to 1333 of the family's 1533-position model. Lineage: Bacteria; Bacillati; Bacillota; Bacilli; Lactobacillales; Streptococcaceae. The record is from RNAcentral.
GAGUUGCGAACGGGUGAGUAACGCGUAGGUAACCUGCCUGGUAGCGGGGGAUAACUAUUGGAAACGAUAGCUAAUACCGCAUAAGAACAUUUACUGCAUGGUAGAUGUUUAAAAGGUGCAAGAGCAUCACUACCAGAUGGACCUGCGUUGUAUUAGCUAGUUGGUGGGGUAACGGCUCACCAAGGCAACGAUACAUAGCCGACCUGAGAGGGUGAUCGGCCACACUGGGACUGAGACACGGCCCAGACUCCUACGGGAGGCAGCAGUAGGGAAUCUUCGGCAAUGGGGGGAACCCUGACCGAGCAACGCCGCGUGAGUGAAGAAGGUUUUCGGAUCGUAAAGCUCUGUUGUUAAGGAAGAACGUGUGUGAGAGUGGAAAGUUCACACAAUGACGGUACUUAACCAGAAAGGGACGGCUAACUACGUGCCAGCAGCCGCGGUAAUACGUAGGUCCCGAGCGUUGUCCGGAUUUAUUGGGCGUAAAGCGAGCGCAGGCGGUUAGAUAAGUCUGAAGUGAAAGGCAGUGGCUCAACCAUUGUAGGCUUUGGAAACUGUUUAACUUGAGUGCAGAAGGGGAGAGUGGAAUUCCAUGUGUAGCGGUGAAAUGCGUAGAUAUAUGGAGGAACACCGGUGGCGAAAGCGGCUCUCUGGUCUGUAACUGACGCUGAGGCUCGAAAGCGUGGGGAGCGAACAGGAUUAGAUACCCUGGUAGUCCACGCCGUAAACGAUGAGUGCUAGGUGUUAGGUCCUUUCCGGGACUUAGUGCCGCAGCUAACGCAUUAAGCACUCCGCCUGGGGAGUACGACCGCAAGGUUGAAACUCAAAGGAAUUGACGGGGGCCCGCACAAGCGGUGGAGCAUGUGGUUUAAUUCGAAGCAACGCGAAGAACCUUACCAGGUCUUGACAUCCCUCUGACCACUCUAGAGAUAGAGUUUCCCUUCGGGGCAGAGGUGACAGGUGGUGCAUGGUUGUCGUCAGCUCGUGUCGUGAGAUGUUGGGUUAAGUCCCGCAACGAGCGCAACCCUUAUUGUUAGUUGCCAUCAUUCAGUUGGGCACUCUAGCGAGACUGCCGGUAAUAAACCGGAGGAAGGUGGGGAUGACGUCAAAUCAUCAUGCCCCUUAUGACCUGGGCUACACACGUGCUACAAUGGCUGGUACAACGAGUCGCAAGCCGGUGACGGCAAGCUAAUCUCUGAAAGCCAGUCUCAGUUCGGAUUGUAGGCUGCAACUCGCCUACAUGAAGUCGGAAUC